Anguilla rostrata (American eel) is the source of this 569-nucleotide long non-coding RNA. RefSeq lists it as uncharacterized. The record is from RefSeq and is a predicted model, not a curated record. Lineage: Eukaryota; Metazoa; Chordata; Actinopteri; Anguilliformes; Anguillidae. The transcript has 2 exons.
UGUGGGCUCAUCUUGUUCCAGAGGGUAUAUAUAAGCCAGAGAUAGCAGUCUCAUGUGCACAGUACUGUCGGCGGGCAUCCAAUGGCGAAACUGACAACAAUAAUAAUUCCUCCGGAGAAUUGCUAAGUAAACAAUGUAUGUUCUCUUGAUCUUUCUCUGAGUUAGCACAUUUUUUAGACUAAAAAACUGCUAUGGAUUUUGCUCGCUGGACCCUUGCCGUGAUGAGAAUAUCGACUUCACCACGAUUUGUGUCAUCUGUGGUUUUCCGAAACGCAUGGAAGGAUUUCCCAUUUGGGCAUUAUGAAGUUUAAAGAACGCUUUCUCAAGGUCAAAACUUUUUUGCCAGAUUUUUUUGGACCAAUUUCUGUUCUGUUUGAUGAAGUAAAGAUCUGAUGAUUGGUGACACCUACCUUGGACACACGACCUCUCAGUGCUGGAGUAGAAAGAUCCCGGGAGGCACAAGCAUCGGAAAGACAUGAAGAGUUCCUCACAGAUGCUGUCAAAAGGACAGGGGUUUGAGAAACAGAAACCUGAUGAGAAAAAAGAAAUAAAACACACCAUUAAACUGA